RNAcentral lists this ribosomal RNA (253 nucleotides) under uncultured bacterium. RNAcentral describes it as "partial 16S ribosomal RNA". It matches the Rfam family "Bacterial small subunit ribosomal RNA", at positions 524 to 776 of the family's 1533-position model. The record is from RNAcentral.
UACGAAGGGGGCUAGCGUUGCUCGGAAUCACUGGGCGUAAAGGGUGCGUAGGCGGGUCUUUAAGUCAGGGGUGAAAUCCUGGAGCUCAACUCCAGAACUGCCUUUGAUACUGGGGAUCUCGAGUCCGGGAGAGGUGAGUGGAACUGCGAGUGUAGAGGUGAAAUUCGUAGAUAUUCGCAAGAACACCAGUGGCGAAGGCGGCUCACUGGCCCGGUACUGACGCUGAGGUGCGAAAGCGUGGGGAGCAAACAGG